GGUGGCUCAGUGGUAGAGUGCUUGCCUUGCAUGCAUGAGGCCCUGGGUUCAGCUCCUCAGCACCA
Dipodomys ordii (Ord's kangaroo rat) is the source of this 65-nucleotide non-coding RNA. The record is from Rfam. NCBI's taxonomy places the organism in Eukaryota, Metazoa, Chordata, Mammalia, Rodentia, Heteromyidae.